UACAUGCACGUGCAGCGACCCACACCGGCGGUGCGGACAGGCAUCGUUUUGUCGUGCAGCUGAUCGACCAACUAACUCGCGUCCACAGUCAGUUAAUGCUGCGUCACUGUUCCUGCCGCUAUCUGGUUUUAGUAACAUGGUCCGCGUAAGGCGAUUGUGGUAUCGAUUCCAUGUGUUGGACGGCUGAUCAAAAUUUGUUGCGAACUCUGUCUGAAAGCACCGAUCUCUGACUGGGCCGAAUACGACAUCAGAUGAAACAUUGUAAUAAAAGUUAUGGUCACAUGUUA
Varroa destructor (honeybee mite) is the source of this 287-nucleotide long non-coding RNA. RefSeq lists it as uncharacterized. Lineage: Eukaryota; Metazoa; Arthropoda; Arachnida; Mesostigmata; Varroidae. The record is from RefSeq and is a predicted model, not a curated record.